UGCACAUAUUUUUUGUAUUCUAAAUCAGUUUUUCUCUUUCCUGGAUGAACUUUCUGUACAAAGAGCAAUAUGAAUGAACAAAUGAAUGCUAUUACAGCCAGAGCAAUCUUUUUAUUCAGUCAUGUCUGCACCGAGCUGAAUCAGAACCCGAGGGGGAACACAAAAGCCAUCACUUUCCCUGACUUUGAGGAAUUUCUGGACAUCAUCUUCAACCAGGACUGAGAAAAAAAUGACACACUGAAGAACAACCCACUGGAGAACAGCAGCCUCCAGAACUAAGAACCUCUGGAAAUAAAGGUUAAAAUCAUACAUCUCUUUUUGUGCCUGCAAAUAGCUGUUAGG
Molecule: long non-coding RNA, 342 nt
Organism: Oxyura jamaicensis (ruddy duck)
Lineage: Eukaryota; Metazoa; Chordata; Aves; Anseriformes; Anatidae
Exons: 2
Source: RefSeq, a predicted model, not a curated record